UACGUAGGGGGCUAGCGUUGUCCGGAAUCAUUGGGCGUAAAGAGCGUGUAGGCGGUCCGGUAAGUCCGCUGUGAAAGUCGGGGGCUCAACCCUCGAAUGCCGGUGGAUACUGUCGGGCUAGAGUGCGGUAGGGGAGAUUGGAAUUCCUGGUGUAGCGGUGGAAUGCGCAGAUAUCAGGAGGAACACCAAUGGCGAAGGCAGAUCUCUGGGCCGUAACUGACGCUGAGGAGCGAAAGCAUGGGGAGCGAACAGG
RNAcentral lists this ribosomal RNA (253 nucleotides) under uncultured bacterium. RNAcentral's name for it is "partial 16S ribosomal RNA". It matches the Rfam family "Bacterial small subunit ribosomal RNA", at positions 524 to 776 of the family's 1533-position model. The record is from RNAcentral.